GAUGAACGCUGGCGGCGUGCCUAAUACAUGCAAGUCGAGCGGAUCAAAGGGAGCUUGCUCCCUGAGAUCAGCGGCGGACGGGUGAGUAACACGUGGGCAAUCUGCCUAUGAGACUGGGAUAACUUCGGGAAACCGGAGCUAAUACCGGAUAAUAUAUAAGACCACAUGGUCUUAUAUUGAAAGAUGGCUUCGGCUAUCACUUAUAGAUGAGCCCGCGGCGCAUUAGCUAGUUGGUGAGGUAACGGCUCACCAAGGCGACGAUGCGUAGCCGACCUGAGAGGGUGAUCGGCCACACUGGGACUGAGACACGGCCCAGACUCCUACGGGAGGCAGCAGUAGGGAAUCUUCCGCAAUGGACGAAAGUCUGACGGAGCAACGCCGCGUGAGCGAUGAAGGCCUUCGGGUCGUAAAGCUCUGUUGUUAAGGAAGAACAAGUAUCGUUCGAAUAGGGCGGUACCUUGACGGUACUUAACCAGAAAGCCACGGCUAACUACGUGCCAGCAGCCGCCGUAAGAC
Molecule: ribosomal RNA, 516 nt
Filed under: uncultured bacterium
Lineage: Bacteria
Description: bacterial SSU rRNA
Rfam family: Bacterial small subunit ribosomal RNA
Source: RNAcentral